AGCAGCCGCGGUAAUUCCAGCUCCAAUAGCGUAUAUUAAGGUUGUUGCAGUUAAAAAGCUCGUAGUUGAACUUCGGGGUUCACCCAUUGGUCAGGCUUAAUUGUCUGUACUGGUGAGAUGAAUCUCUACCUUCUGAGGAACUUUCAUGCCAUUUAUUUGGUGUGAUUGGAAAUCAGGAUUGUUACUUUGAAAAAAUUAGAGUGUUUAAAGCAGGCUAACGUCUGAAUACAUUAGCAUGGAAUAAUGAAAUAGGACGGAUUGAUUCUAUUUCGUUGGUUUCUAGGAUCACCGUAAUGAUUAAUAGGGAUAGUUGGGGGCAUUAGUAUUCAAUUGUCAGAGGUGAAAUUCUUGGAUUUAUUGAAGACUAACUACUGCGAAAGCAUUUGCCAAGGAUGUUUUCAUUAAUCAAGGACGAAAGUUAGGGGAUCGAAGACGAUCAGAUACCGUCGUAGUCUUAACCAUAAACUAUGCCGACUAGGGAUCGGAUGAUGUUAAUUUUUUAACGACUCAUUC
This 513-nucleotide ribosomal RNA is filed under the name uncultured Diversispora. RNAcentral's name for it is "SSU rRNA". It matches the Rfam family "Eukaryotic small subunit ribosomal RNA", at positions 569 to 1081 of the family's 1831-position model. The record is from RNAcentral. Lineage: Eukaryota; Fungi; Glomeromycota; Glomeromycetes; Diversisporales; Diversisporaceae.